UACGUAGGGUGCGAGCGUUGUCCGGAAUUAUUGGGCGUAAAGAGCUCGUAGGCGGUCUGUUGCGUCGGCUGUGAAAACCCGAGGCUCAACCUCGGGCCUGCAGCCGAUACGGGCAGACUAGAGUACGGCAGGGGAGACUGGAAUUCCUGGUGUAGCGGUGAAAUGCGCAGAUAUCGGGAGGAACACCAGUGGCGAAGGCGACUACCUGGCCUGUUCUUGACGCUGAGGCGCGAAAGCUAGGGGAGCAAACGGG
RNAcentral lists this ribosomal RNA (253 nucleotides) under uncultured bacterium. RNAcentral's name for it is "partial 16S ribosomal RNA". It matches the Rfam family "Bacterial small subunit ribosomal RNA", at positions 524 to 776 of the family's 1533-position model. The record is from RNAcentral.